GAUGAACGCUGGCGGCGUGCUUAACACAUGCAAGUCGAACGAGAAAGCACCUUCGGGUGUGAGUAGAGUGGCGAACGGGUGAGUAACACGUGAGCAACCUGCCUCUCACUUCGGAAUAACUCAGGGAAACCUGUGCUAAUACCGGAUACUCCGUACAUUCCGCAUGCUAUGUACGGGAAAGCCUUGUGCGGUGAGAGAUGGGCUCGCGGCCCAUUAGGUAGUUGGUGGGGUAACGGCCUACCAAGCCGACGAUGGGUAGCCGGGUUGAGAGACCGACCGGCCACAUUGGGACUGAGACACGGCCCAGACUCCUACGGGAGGCAGCAGUGGGGAAUUUUGCGCAAUGGGGGAAACCCUGACGCAGCAACGCCGCGUGCGGGAUGAAGGCCUUCGGGUUGUAAACCGCUUUCAGUAGGGAAGAAAAUGACGGUACCUACAGAAGAAGCUCCGGCUAACUACGUGCCAGCAGCCGCCGUAACAC
RNAcentral lists this ribosomal RNA (481 nucleotides) under uncultured bacterium. RNAcentral describes it as "bacterial SSU rRNA". It matches the Rfam family "Bacterial small subunit ribosomal RNA", at positions 28 to 526 of the family's 1533-position model. The record is from RNAcentral.